RNAcentral lists this transfer RNA (75 nucleotides) under Planctomycetota bacterium. Its description in RNAcentral is "Planctomycetes bacterium tRNA-Pro". It matches the Rfam family "tRNA". From Rfam's summary of the family: Transfer RNA (tRNA) molecules are approximately 80 nucleotides in length. Their secondary structure includes four short double-helical elements and three loops (D, anti-codon, and T loops). The record is from RNAcentral. Lineage: Bacteria; Pseudomonadati; Planctomycetota.
CGGGGCGUAGCUCAGCUUGGCUAGAGCGCUACGUUUGGGACGUAGAGGCCGUAGGUUCGAAUCCUAUCGCCCCGA